This is a non-coding RNA of Nothobranchius furzeri (turquoise killifish), 5683 nucleotides long. NCBI's taxonomy places the organism in Eukaryota, Metazoa, Chordata, Actinopteri, Cyprinodontiformes, Nothobranchiidae. The record is from RefSeq and is a predicted model, not a curated record.
AAACAUUCAAGGUUAAGUAGCCUUUUUCUCCCUUCAUGGUCUUUUCUUCAUCUUCAUUGACUAACCACCCACGUGGAUUGGCUAAUUUCCCGCUGCCCGUGCGUCCUUUCUUCAUUUGGAAGCGAUACCGCGCACUGAAGAAGUUUAGAACGCGUGCGUGGACGAGCGCGAGAGGCUUGUGGCGCAUUGGACAGCUCCGAUCGGUGCUGAAAGAACCCAAAGAAAAGAGGAAGAGAAAGAGAGGGGGAGAGGGCGAUCACACAUGAACUCGUCCAUCAUCUGACCGAAGCCAAAGCGGAAGAGGGGGAAGACAACCUUCCGAGACACGCAGGAGCGGACAGAUGAAACCUGCACGGCAUUCCGCCUCAUUUUCACGCUUCUUCCUUCAAAAACGCAGCUUUACCUGAGAUCUUUACGCACCGCAAAAGACAGGAGAAAACGCCGCGUGUGAUGAGUGUUGCGCGGUGCGUGCUCCUGAAGGAUCCCCAGUCCUGAUAAAGGGACCAAAAAGGGACAUUAAAGACUGUCCACGGUUUAUUUAUAUAUUUAUUUUAUCAUUAUUGUUUUUUCCAGAAGAAAGUCGCAAAGGUGGAGCGAUUAGAGCAGGGCUGAUGAAGGGACCGUUAAUCCUUUCAGUGCAUCAAAAGCACCAGAGGGGUUUGGAAACGUGCGGAUGGAAAUCGGACCAAUGUUUGGAACUGUUUUUGGUUUUAUAUGAAACUGGUGAUUAGUGGCUCUGGCUCCUUUUCCCCACUUCAGAAAUAAAAAGCAGUUUUAGUUUAAUUUGGAUUUUCUUCCUCUGGAGGUUCAUGUCAUGGAGGGGUGAGAUUUGGAAACAAAACUAUCAUCUUUGUCCUUUUUUUCUCAUAAAUCUAAAUGGAAUUAGUUGAGUCUGAAGCCGUUUGUGAAAGAAACAGACAUGGUACAUGGGCACAGCUUCCAUCACGUUGUUGCAAGUCUACUCCUGCUUGGGUUGUCUGGGGCAACAAAGAAAGACUCAACUACAGUGAAAAACAAUUCUGGAGUGAAGCCUGCAGGUCAGUGUGGAGCGUGGGUGAAGGAAUCAGAAGGAGGGCUCUUUACUUCUCCCAAUUACCCAAACAAAUACCCCCCGAACACAGAGUGUGUUUACAUCCUGGAAGCUCCCCCACGGCAGUGCAUCGAUCUACAUUUUGAGGAGAAUUACUCCAUCGAGUCCUCUUGGGAAUGUAAAUUUGACAACAUCGAGGUUCGCGAUGGACCGUUCGGCUUCUCCCCGAUGCUCGGCCGGCACUGCGGUCAGCACAGCCCACCGGACAUCAGGAGCAGCGGCCGAUAUCUGUGGAUAAAAUUUGUAACCGACGGAGAACUGGAAGGGGUGGGAUUUUCAGCAAGUUACAACUUCACAGCUGAUCCAGACUUUGCAGACUUGGGAGUACCCCCACCUCUGCCCUCCUGUCAGUACGACAUGGUUGGCCCUGAAGGUAUCGUUGAGUCUCAUCAGAUCACCAGAGACGGGAAGGCUGGCGCCGCUGAAGCCGUUGACUGUAAAUGGUACAUCCGAGCUCCGCCAAGAUCCAAGAUCUACCUACGGUUUCUGGACUACGAGAUGGCUAAUUCCAACGAAUGCAAACGCAAUUUUGUAGCAGUGUAUGACGGUGGCAGUUCGGUGGAAGACCUGAAGAGCAAGUUCUGCUCCACGGUGGCAAACGACAUCAUGCUGGUCUCCACUCUGGGAGUCGUCCGUAUGUGGGCGGACGAGCUCAGCCGCAGAAGCCGCUUCCGAAUCCUCUUCACCACCUACCAAGAACCCCCAUGUGAUGCCGAUGCCUUCUUUUGUCACAGUAACAUGUGCAUAAACUACACGCUGGUGUGUAACGGCAUGCAGAACUGUGUCUACCCCUGGGAUGAAAACCAGUGUAAAGAGAAAACCAACACCAAAUUCCUGGACAACCUCAACUCCACAAAUGGGGCUAUCAUUGGAGUAACUUGCUGCAUCGUCUUCAUCCUCCUCAUCGUCUCAGUGAUUGUUCAGAUAAAGCAACCGCGUAAGAAGUACAUCCUACGACGUGAGGACUUCGACCCCACCAUGUUUCAGGAGGUCUUUGAGCCCCCUCACUAUGAGCUGUGUACGUUGCGGAGUGCCGCCACGCCCACGGCGGCCUCUGCGGAUUUAGUCGACUUGGCAGAAGACUUUGGGAACUACCAUGCCCUUCGCCGGGCCUCCUCCCGCUGCAUCCACGAUCACCACUGUGGCUCCACCACUAACCCUGGCUCUGCACACAUAUCCCAGCUGUCUCUCAGCGGACGUGGCAGCCGUAGUAACCUGAGCGCUCGUGACACAGGGGCCGCCACUCUGCUUGCGGACCUCCCACAGCCGCCCAUGUCCGUGCGCCCCCUGCUGCCGAAUGCAGGGAACCGCAGGAGCAUCUUAGUCAUGAAGCACAGCUACUCACAAGAGGCAGCGGACAAUGGAUGCGACCUAGACGAUGACCUGGAAGACGUUCCUACCACCAGCCACCGACUGUCACGGCACGAAAAGGCGGUACAGCGGUUCUGCCUCAUUGGCUCUUUGAGCAAACAUGAAUCAGAGUACAACACAACUAGGGUCUAGGAGACAAUCUCAAGACUUCUUGAGGAUAGUGCAAUCCUGGAUCAGUUUGAACUAGCAUCAUUGACUUUGUGAAAAGGCGGAAAGGAGAUUUACGCCAGCAUGAUGCUGAUGCUGAUGAUGAUGAAGGAACACUUUGAUGACAGAGUUCUAAUGUGUAAAGAUGGACACAGAAGACUAGCUGAAAAAAUGAGUUCUUUGUUUCUUACAUGUUCUGUUUUAUUGUUAAAGAACACAAAUUAAUAAUUGUCUCCUUUUUCUCAUGACACUCAUUAGUUCAUUUUUAGGCAUGGUUUUUUUAUGCUAUAGCAACAUGUUAUGAUUUGAAGAGCAAACUAUUGAGUUUGCUGCUAUUUGAAUCUAAUAAUUCAUUUUCGGUAAAAUCUGGAAUUAAACUAGUAUUAACCAAGUUGAAUUUAAUGCUCUUGGCACAACAAACGGGCAGGGACGUUUGGCUUCUGCAUGUUUCUUUAAUAAAAAUUAACGGGAUUAGUUCCCAUUUGGAAAUGUGUUUUUCUGUAAAAAUUACAAAAAGUUACCACGCUGCCUGUUAGUUUCCUGAAAGGCCUCACUUCAGAGAAAAAUCUGUUAGUAUUUAUCAAUAAAUUCAAUUCAAUUCAAUUUUAUUUAUAUAGCGCCAAAUCAUGACAAGAGUCAUCUCAAGGCACUUCACAUAGUAAACAUUCCAAUCCAGGUCAGUUCAUUAAGCCAAUCCGAAAAAAAGUUUCCUAUAUAAGGAACCCAGCAAAUUGCAAGGGAGUUUUCCUCUCCACUGUCGCUAUAUGCUUGCUUAGAAUGAGGAUUGUUGUAAAGUCACUGACUAUCUCACAAUCCUCAUUCUAAGCAAGCAUAUAGCGACAGUGGAGAGGAAAACUCCCUUUUAACAGGAAGAAACCUCCAGAGGAUCCUGGCUCAGUAUAAGCAGUCAUCCUCCACAACUCACUGGGGAUCGAGAAAACAGAGCACACACACACACACACACACAGACAAAGACAAAGUAAUGAGUCUAUAGUUAUAUUGUGAUUUCUUAGUAAAUAUUCUAUUUGGUGAGAGAUAAACUUUAUUGUAUUUAUCCUAGUGGAUCUAUAAUUAAACGGAUAAACUAGUAGUAGCACAUCCAACGUCAAGGAAAGCAAAAAGUUAUCAUCAGGAGAGGGACAAUGUUUAAGGGGUUAGCAGCAGUGUGCUAGACGAUGGCCCCCUCCAUGAGGCCACCACAGCUCAGCAGAACAUCAUUGUAGCUUCUUCUGGGGAGAAAAACACUUAGAGAGAAAAUAAAGUUAACAGCUGAAAUUGCAGAAAAUAAUACAGUUAAAGAGCAGAUUGUAGAAGAAAGUAGUAGAGUGUGGAAAGUGGUCAGUGUAUCCUCCAGCAGUCUAAGCCUAUAGCAGCAUAACUACAGAGAUAAAUAAAGACUCCCGUACUUUUAGUAGUUGUUCCUAUUCUGUCAAAAAUAUCUUUGGCUGUAGUUUCUUAUAGUUUUCUACUAAAAAAUAAGCCUGGCAAGCCAUCCUGUAUAUGUGAAUAUAUAAUCUGGCCAUGACCCAUAUGAUCCAUCAUGGGGUGGAAUCUAUGGUUGUCUUUCAAACUGUCUCCACGUGCUAUUGGAUAACGAACAACGUCACGGCUAUGAAUGUCAGUCAACGGGGUGGUCCACCAUACACCGUCGAAGAAGACACAAAAACGUCCUUUAUCUAAAUAAAGGACUUAAGUAUCUUUAUCUGCCCUUGACUCAAAGAAAAGCCCAAGUCUUAAUAGUCCAAAGUUGAUGCCAAAGCCGUUUCAAUCAAGCCGACGCCGUCUUAGCUGUUUCGCUCAGUGGCAUCAUCCUGACCAGCAGACCAACUGUGAUUGGCAAGACACAAGACUGUUUGGGUCUGCUCAGGCUUCAGUGGAGCGUGGGUAAGGGUUACGGCUACUGUCUGAAUCAAGUCUCUAGUUGAUGACAGUUUAUUAAUUCCAGCUUGUAAACGCAAAUCCACUCCAGGAGAAAAGGCCGACAGAGCGUGAGUUUUCACUAAGCUGUGUUUGCAGACUAUUUUGGAUUCUUAUUUACAACAGCACUUAAAAGUUACAUUCAGUUCUUGAAUUUCUUUUUCAGAAUAUGAUAUUAAAGUCUUUUUCCGGAGUAUUUCUCCUAUCCGAUGGCACCAUCUAGUGGCUGACAAGCAUAUCACACAAAUAAUCUCUGGAUCUGUUUUGUUAAGAUGGCAGCUUCACGUUUCUGUUUAUAAAUGUGCUUCUGUAGCCGACAAACAGAACUAAAACACGUUGUUUUACGAGUAUUAUUCUCAUGUCAUGUUGUGUUCUCAUAUAUUUAUAUUUUAGAAACUUGUCCGUGAAAAAUUCAUCAACUCUGCAUCAGCCGAGGUAUUCCUUAAAUUUGAAGCAGAUACAUCAGACAGAUGCAUCAGUCCACUGCAUCUUGCCAAGUUUGACAGCAUUUGGAGCUAAGCUUUUUCUCCCGUGUGCAUCCUGAGUGAACUCUUCCCCUGAUUACUGACGUAGAGUGCUGUGAUGAGAAUUAGAUUUUUAUUUUUUACAUUUCUUAAUAAGGUUUUCUCCGUUGCCUUGGGACGAUGAAGGUGCAUCCCGUGCUGCUCCACUCCUGGCUGGUGCUGACGACCACCUGAGCAUUUGGUUAUUUCAGACAGAAGGCGGAACGUUUGAUAUUUGAAAAAUUAUGGUACCUUUAAUGUAAAACUACUCAUAGAGGAGGAAAAAAAAACAGAUUCAGGUUCUCAAAUCAUUUUCAUGUGACCAUCCGAUCAGUGAGCGUACUGCUUAUUUCACUUGUUUUCUACUUUGAUGUCACACUCUCACAGUAGAGAAUCAGGUUGCUUUUUAUAAGAAAACAAAUGAUGGCAGAGAAUAUUUAAAAUGAAAUAAACUUGAAAAAAACUGAGUGUUUUCAAUUUUAUCAGCCCAUCAACUAACAUUUGUUUAAUCACUCUUUUACUGAUACCCUCUGAUCUAUGUUUAACACAUUCACGACUAUUUUUGUACAUUUUUUAACAUCCAUGAUAAGAUUUAUUUGAAAUCAUGAGAAUAAAAUGCUGGACUGAACAUUUUAAAUAAACUAAUGUUUUCUGA